RNAcentral lists this ribosomal RNA (879 nucleotides) under uncultured bacterium. Its description in RNAcentral is "bacterial SSU rRNA". It matches the Rfam family "Bacterial small subunit ribosomal RNA", at positions 8 to 916 of the family's 1533-position model. The record is from RNAcentral.
AGAGUUUGAUCAUGGCUCAGGAUGAACGCUGGCGGCGUGCCUAACACAUGCAAGUCGAGCGAUUCUCUUCGGAGAAGAGCGGCGGACGGGUGAGUAACGCGUGGGUAACCUGCCCUGUACACACGGAUAACAUACCGAAAGGUAUGCUAAUACGAGAUAAUAUGCUUUUAUCGCAUGGUAGAAGUAUCAAAGCUCCGGCGGUACAGGAUGGACCCGCGUCUGAUUAGCUAGUUGGUAAGGUAACGGCUUACCAAGGCGACGAUCAGUAGCCGACCUGAGAGGGUGAUCGGCCACAUUGGAACUGAGACACGGUCCAAACUCCUACGGGAGGCAGCAGUGGGGAAUAUUGCACAAUGGGCGAAAGUCUGAUGCAGCAACGCCGCGUGAGCGAUGAAGGCCUUCGGGUCGUAAAGCUCUGUCCUCAAGGAAGAUAAUGACGGUACUUGAGGAGGAAGCCCCGGCUAACUACGUGCCAGCAGCCGCGGUAAUACGUAGGGGGCUAGCGUUAUCCGGAAUUACUGGGCGUAAAGGGUGCGUAGGUGGUUUCUUAAGUCAGAGGUGAAAGGCUACGGCUCAACCGUAGUAAGCCUUUGAAACUGGGAAACUUGAGUGCAGGAGAGGAGAGUGGAAUUCCUAGUGUAGCGGUGAAAUGCGUAGAUAUUAGGAGGAACACCAGUUGCGAAGGCGGCUCUCUGGACUGUAACUGACACUGAGGCACGAAAGCGUGGGGAGCAGACAGGAUUAGAUACCCUGGUAGUCCACGCCGUAAACGAUGAGUACUAGCUGUCGGAGGUUACCCCCUUCGGUGGCGCAGCUAACGCAUUAAGUACUCCGCCUGGGAAGUACGCUCGCAAGAGUGAAACUCAAAGGAAUUGACGG